RNAcentral lists this long non-coding RNA (1668 nucleotides) under Gallus gallus (chicken). RNAcentral's name for it is "lncRNA (ENSGALG00010020380.1)". The record is from RNAcentral. Lineage: Eukaryota; Metazoa; Chordata; Aves; Galliformes; Phasianidae.
AAUGAAACAAAUUUUGCACAGCAUGAAAUUAUUCCUGCCACGUACGGCGUUCGGUGGCAGAUUUUUGAGUUUGGACCACAAACAAGGCUCGGCAGCACGGAGAGGAGGGGGCGGGGAGGAAAACACCACCAAAGAGCCAAGGACUCCAGGCCAGCACUGACUCAGGACAGUCUCCGCUGUUGGCUGUGCUAGGACCCAUCUUUCAUAAAGAGUUUGGAGAGGAACAGACCCGAGACCGGCUUCAGUCUUGGCCCAUCAUUUCAGUACAAAGCACUUUUUGCAUAGUCCUUGCAGUUGCUCGGCCUUGGUUGUGCUGGCUUUUGCACCUCUUUGAACUUAAAUACAAAAUGAGCAUUGGUUUUGGAGAGGGAAUUUGGAUGCUUAGUUUUUCUUGUGUUACUUCUUUCGCAGUGGAGCCUGCUGAGAUAGAGCUUCCAGCCUUUGGGCACUGUGUGGCCCUUGCAGAGGAGAGCUUGGGCCGCAAAGAUUGGUGAUCAAGGGAGAUAGAUAGGAUGGAUGGAAGGAACCCAUUGGACUGUGGUUGGUUGCUCAAGGAGGAAAGUGGCUGCGGAGCCAUGGAGCGUCAAGCGUGAGAUCUGUGAUGUUCUGCCUUCAGCUAUCUCUACUUCCUCAUCACAGAGCAGGCAGCUUUUGGUUUGUGUUUUUUCUUUUUCUUUUCCUUUUUUUUUUUCCUAUGCUAUAUUUGCACACAAUUAUAGCAAGAUGCAAAUUAAGACCUCUCCAACCCCAUUUGUCAUUCUUUCUACCUGAUGAACUUCAUGUCAUUAAAAUGAGGACGAGGUGCCCAGAACCUGCCAAUUUCCACUGCAGAUCAGUUGUCAGAAAGCAAAAGCUUCUGUUCCUUUUCUUCAGACGGAUAAGUGAAAUGUGCAAGAGACCAUAAAUGAAGCUGAAAUAAUGGAAGAUCACUCAAAAAUUCUCCACGCUUUGGAAAGACUUAUACUCACAUUUGUAACGCUGAAGAAAGGAGAAUGCUAUGUAAGAAACAGGUUGCAGAAUAAGGACUUCUAUGUCUUAGUCCUAUCACUGCUCUAAACUUCCUGAAAAAAGAGCCCUUACUGACUGGUCUCUUUCCAGUGAAAUGAAAUUCCUUGUCCCCACUCCAGCAGAGCCACUUGGAGACAGCUUGUGAAAGGCAUUUCUGUCUGUGCAUGCAUGGUGCUGCUGCAUGCCUGGUUUGUGAACAGAAAGGGAAAUGCUUGGAUGGGCUUCCUAAAGAAAACAAAUUAAAAAAAAAACACGGUGCAGAGCUCUGAGAGCUGUGACUCUCUGGGCACAGAGAUGGUGUCCUUGCAGGAAGGGUGAUGGGAGCACUCACUGGCCCCACUGGUGCCCCAAAGUGGGAGCACAGAGCCAGUCCUGCUGCUUAGCACAUCUCUGCGAUUUAAGGGUGGUCGAGAGGGAGCUCAGCAGCAGUUUGUUUUUCUCUCUUGACUUUGUCCCAUUGCUGGGGUAUUUUGCUGAUGUGCUGGAGGACGCUAACACCUUGAUGGGCCCCAUCUGUUCCAGCGAGGAGAGUACAGCUGAAUGCUUCGAGGGUGCCCGGGUGCAGCUUGGGAACGCUCCUUGCUUUAUCCAUGGUGAAGCAGUUGGCAUCGGCCAAGCUCCCUGGCACCCGGAGGGGGGAAAUCCUGAGGUAAAUUCGAG